Molecule: ribosomal RNA, 253 nt
Filed under: uncultured bacterium
Lineage: Bacteria
Description: partial 16S ribosomal RNA
Rfam family: Bacterial small subunit ribosomal RNA
Source: RNAcentral
UACAGAGGGUGCAAGCGUUAAUCGGAAUUACUGGGCGUAAAGCGUGCGCAGACGGUUGCGUAAGUCAGAUGUGAAAGCCCCGGGCUCAACCUGGGAACUGCAUUUGUGACUGCAUCGCUGGAGUGCGGCAGAGGGGGAUGGAAUUCCGCGUGUAGCAGUGAAAUGCGUAGAUAUGCGGAGGAACACCGAUGGCGAAGGCAAUCCCCUGGGCCUGCACUGACGCUCAUGCACGAAAGCGUGGGGAGCAAACAGG